RNAcentral lists this ribosomal RNA (253 nucleotides) under uncultured bacterium. RNAcentral describes it as "partial 16S ribosomal RNA". It matches the Rfam family "Bacterial small subunit ribosomal RNA", at positions 524 to 776 of the family's 1533-position model. The record is from RNAcentral.
GACGAACCGUGCGAACGUUGUUCGGAAUCACUGGGCAUAAAGGGCGCGUAGGCGGCUUUUCAAGUCAGGGGUGAAAUCCGGCAGCUCAACUGUCGAAGUGCCCUUGAUACUGACGAGCUCGAGGGAGGUAGGGGUGUGUGGAACUUCCGGUGGAGCGGUGAAAUGCGUUGAUAUCGGAAAGAACACCAACGGCGAAAGCACUCUGCUGGGCCGACACUGACACUGAGAGACGAAAGCUAGGGGAGCAAAUGGG